AGUCCUCUGUUUCUUCUGGGAAAUGGCAAAUAGUUGGUGUCGUAAAAAUCUUUCCUCAUUUCUCCAGUUUUUGGUGGUUGUAGCAGAUCUUCUGCUUCAAUUGGGCUUUCUUCUUCUAUCACUGCUGGUUGCACUUGUGCUGAUGUUCUUUGAUUCUCUUUUGGGUAUGGGGGAUCUCUGGUGGCUCUGCCUCCUCUAGUGGUU
Molecule: long non-coding RNA, 204 nt
Filed under: Sorghum bicolor (sorghum)
Lineage: Eukaryota; Viridiplantae; Streptophyta; Magnoliopsida; Poales; Poaceae
Description: long non-coding RNA (SBIC_LNC009261)
Source: RNAcentral